CCGUUUGGUAAGGAUUUUGAGAAUUGAUUUUUUGACCGUUAGAAGAAAAGUGGGGUCCACAUGUGAGAGAAGAAGUCAAAAAUUACGGCUUGAAUAGUAAAAUAACGGUCAAAAAAUCAAUUUUUUGGGACAAAAAAUCCCUACCAAACAGGGCCUAUGUUAGGAGCUGCCUUGCAAGCAGCCAAGUCGCCUGUGUAAUGUGUAGUACAGGCAACAAUGUGUAGCUAUGACACGACUUGUCCCAAAUCACCUUAUAGACCCGAAACAUGACAUGCGCCGGUGGUAUAUGCUGACUAGAUGCCAGAGACUAUGAAUUAUUACAAAAUAUGCGACAAAAUCAAAUAUUUAUAAAAACAUAAUGCAAUAGGCCCAAAUAAUUACUUCAUAUUUUACCAAAAUGAAUUAUAUCACUCAAUAUGUCAUUUAGCUAUAACUCUUAAAUCACCAGGCUCUUCAAGCUAUUAGUGAUCAAUAUUACCUAUAAGAAUAAUUUUAGAAAAAUAUGAGUUAACAACUCAAAAAUAAUUAUACCUUUUCUUUUAAACAUUUUUACUAAACAUCAAGUUCAUAUCGUUUAAUAUUCACAUGAUAGAUUCGUACAAUUAUAGCCAAAAAGUGACAUUCUCAUAACACUGCAAAUAUCAUCUUAUAAUUACAAUAUAGUCAUCAACUGAUAUCUCAUCACAUCACAUGUAAUCCACAAAAAAUAUACCGUGUGACUAAAAUUUGAAAUCCUUCCCUCGGGCUAAACACUUUCGCCACGGGCCUUUGGCCCCCCUCCGUGAACAAAAGUGGGUCUUAAGACCUCUAGUAAUCAAUUUUAAAACACGGUCAAAGCUCCUCUAUGAACUAAAUGUACACAGUCAAAACCAAUAUUUGGUCAAGACCCCUCCGUGUAGGAUAAAACAUGGCUAAGACCCCUCUGUGAACUAGGAGAAAUAUAUAAUCAAUGGUACUUUUUUGGCCGAUCUCAAUAUCACAUUUGUUUCACAUACCAAGUCAUAAAUGCACCAUAAAUAAUCUUUGAAAUUCCACACGUCAUAAUAAAAGAGAUUUUUGUAAUAAUCAUAAAACGAACACAUAAUUGCACAUGCUUUACUAAUAUACUUAAUUUAUAAAUACUUUAAAAAUAUUUAGUUUUUCUACUCAUUGAUCUAUGGAUAUAAAUCUGAUUAGACUGACGAGCUUUUUCCAAACUUUCAUGUCCUUACCUAAAACAACGGUAUAAUCUCUCAAAUUAAAAUCUGACAAUUAAAUUAAUACAAAUCCACCUCUCAACUUUUCAAUUUCUAUAUUUAUUCUUACAUCUCUGUUUCCCCAACUUUCCUUCACUUUGAUUAUUUACUAAUCAAUCACUACACAUAAUCAAUCAUUUAAUUGCUAUACAUUCUUAAAAUCACUAUCUUGUAUAUACACAACUUAAUCCAUUACCUAAACUUCACUAUCUAUCAUAUAACCUCAUUCAAACAAUUAAAAUCUGAAAAUAAGAGUUUUGACAAAAACAGCACUAAUAUCCCAGAAUACUGAAUUGUAAUAUCUGCAUAUUAACAACAGUCACCGAAACCAUUGACAGAAAUAGCACUAUCCUGGGCAGAAUUUCAAAACUAGCACCUGUUUUACAAAAGCUCAAAAAUUGCUGGAAAAAAUGGACAAUUUCAACCUUAAAUCCUCAAUUUAAGUUUUUAGCACAAUAUAAUUCAAGAAUUUCAAAGAAUAUGCUUUUAUCUCACAAACCCACUUUCAAAGUUCCACUUUCUUCAACCUUUAUAUUCAAAUAAACAUUCCCUUGCUAUAUUAUUUAAAACCGUGAAUACACAUCAAUAAUAUCAAAUUCUUGCUAACUUCAAAGUUUAAAGAUAAAUUCCAUAAACCCUAAAAGAGAUAAUUUCACAUUCUUAUACUUACCUCACUAAAUCACAAUACAAAUUAAAGAAAUGGAGAACCCGGCUCGAAAAUCUACUACUUCUUCCUUUUCCCCCUUUCUCUUCCUUUCUUCUCCUCUUUUUCCACUGUUUUUUCCCAUGGUUUUCUGCCUCUUUCGGACUCUGCUUGCUCUCUACAGUUCCUUUUUUUUUUUUGGACCCAAAAAUGAGAGAAAUUGAUAUUUAUCUCCUAAUUU
This 2119-nucleotide long non-coding RNA is filed under the name Olea europaea subsp. europaea. The record is from RNAcentral. Lineage: Eukaryota; Viridiplantae; Streptophyta; Magnoliopsida; Lamiales; Oleaceae.